This 584-nucleotide ribosomal RNA is filed under the name uncultured bacterium. RNAcentral describes it as "partial 16S ribosomal RNA". It matches the Rfam family "Bacterial small subunit ribosomal RNA", at positions 355 to 923 of the family's 1533-position model. The record is from RNAcentral.
UGGGGAAUUUUGGACAAUGGGCGAAAGCCUGAUCCAGCAAUGCCGCGUGUGUGAAGAAGGCCUUCGGGUUGUAAAGCACUUUUGUCCGGAAAGAAAUCCUUGGCUCUAAUACAGUCGGGGGAUGACGGUACCGGAAGAAUAAGCACCGGCUAACUACGUGCCAGCAGCCGCGGUAAUACGUAGGGUGCAAGCGUUAAUCGGAAUUACUGGGCGUAAAGCGUGCGCAGGCGGUUUGCUAAGACCGAUGUGAAAUCCCCGGGCUCAACCUGGGGAACUGCAUUGGUGACUGGCAGGCUAGAGUAUGGCAGAGGGGGGUAGAAUUCCACGUGUAGCAGUGAAAAUGCGUAGAGAUGUGGAGGAAUACCGAUGGCGAAGGCAGCCCCCUGGGCCAAAUACUGACGCUCAUGCACGAAAAGCGUGGGGGAGCAAAACAGGAUUAGAUACCCUGGUAGUCCACGCCCUAAAACGAUGUCAACUAGUUGUUGGGGGAUUCAUUUCCUUAGUAACGUAGCUAACGCGUGAAGUUGACCGCCUGGGGAGUACGGUCGCAAGAUUAAAAACUUAAAUGAAUUGACGGGGUCAUA